RNAcentral lists this ribosomal RNA (253 nucleotides) under uncultured bacterium. RNAcentral describes it as "partial 16S ribosomal RNA". It matches the Rfam family "Bacterial small subunit ribosomal RNA", at positions 524 to 776 of the family's 1533-position model. The record is from RNAcentral.
UACAGAGGGUGCGAGCGUUAAUCGGAAUUACUGGGCGUAAAGCGCGCGUAGGCGGCUUUGCAAGUCGGGUGUGAAAUCCCCAGGCUUAACCUGGGAACUGCAUUCGCGACUGCAUUGCUAGAGUAUGGGAGAGGGUAGUGGAAUUUCCGGUGUAGCGGUGAAAUGCGUAGAUAUCGGAAGGAACAUCAGUGGCGAAAGCGACUUCCUGGACCAAUACUGACGCUCAUGUGCGAAAGCGUGGGGAGCAAACAGG